GAUGAACGCUAGCGGCAGGCUUAAUACAUGCAAGUCGAGGGGCAGCAGGGCGGUAGCAAUACCGUCGCUGGCGACCGGCAAACGGGUGCGGAACACGUACGCAACCUACCCAUAACUGGGGGAUAGCCCGGGGAAACCCGGAUUAAUACCUCGUACCAUUACAAGGUGGCAUCACCUUAUAAUGAUAGCUCCGGUGGUUAUGGAUGGGCGUGCGCCUGAUUAGGUAGUUGGUGUGGGUAACGGCCCACCAAGCCUUCGAUCAGUAACUGGUGUGAGAGCACGACCAGUCACACGGGCACUGAGACACGGGCCCGACUCCUACGGGAGGCAGCAGUAAGGAAUAUUGGUCAAUGGAGGCAACUCUGAACCAGCCAUGCCGCGUGAAGGAUGAAGGUCCUC
This 399-nucleotide ribosomal RNA is filed under the name uncultured bacterium. Its description in RNAcentral is "bacterial SSU rRNA". It matches the Rfam family "Bacterial small subunit ribosomal RNA", at positions 28 to 419 of the family's 1533-position model. The record is from RNAcentral.